CUUUAUUUUCACCAACAAGCUGAUGCAGUUCACAGAUAUUCUACUGCAGUGUGUACCAGGGAAGAAAGAGCCAGUGCCACAGAGUACUGCAACAAAACACAUCACCAGUAAGAUGGAAAGCCACCAACAAUUUUCCAUCCACGGCUGCAGUCACCAUCUAGGGAAGGAAAGGAGGGGAUAUGGAGUCUGGUUGUAUAAGGAGGAGAUUACAUUUCCAUGCCACAGGCCGGCCCACAGAUGAAACACUGCUGGGGAGGUUGAUUAGCCACAUCAGCGAGAGAUGGCAAGACAAGGCUUCACAGACUGCUGUUGGACCGAGUCCCAUCUGCCUCCUGCUGAGCAGCAACUAAGGCCAGAUCGACUUGUUUUGAUCCUAUGAGGGGCUUCUGGGCCUGUUGUCCUUGGCUAAAUGCAACAGCACACAAGGCCGAAGCUAUUCCUGUGCAUACGCAGAGCUAGCGUUGCAGCAAAUGAAAACGUGGCAUGUUAAUAAAAAAAAUGUUUUCUCAAAGCGCCAAUGCAGUUCUUACAUCACACACACAAUGGAGUGCGACUGUAAGGCAAUCAGAGCGGCCCACAUUUUUGUAAGAUGACCAAUCACAAGAAAGAAGCAGUGCUCUACAAUCUGUGCACAGCUGUUGGUUCAUAACAGCAGCAGUAAGCAGCGGAGGACA
Dicentrarchus labrax (European seabass) is the source of this 674-nucleotide long non-coding RNA. RefSeq lists it as uncharacterized. NCBI's taxonomy places the organism in Eukaryota, Metazoa, Chordata, Actinopteri, Moronidae. The record is from RefSeq and is a predicted model, not a curated record. The transcript is spliced from 3 exons.